AUCCAGCCGACGAGUCCAAAAUGGGAGGAAACGCGCGUCCUGGAU
This 45-nucleotide non-coding RNA is filed under the name Schistosoma mansoni. Lineage: Eukaryota; Metazoa; Platyhelminthes; Trematoda; Strigeidida; Schistosomatidae. The record is from RNAcentral.